AUCCCACCACUCCAAUCAAUGACAUGAUUUUUAGCAUCAUCGCGUCUUAU
RNAcentral lists this transfer RNA (50 nucleotides) under Corethron pennatum. RNAcentral's name for it is "partial tRNA". The record is from RNAcentral. Lineage: Eukaryota; Bacillariophyta; Corethrophyceae; Corethrales; Corethraceae.